RNAcentral lists this unclassified non-coding RNA (331 nucleotides) under soil metagenome. RNAcentral's name for it is "partial contains 5.8S ribosomal RNA, internal transcribed spacer 2, and large subunit ribosomal RNA". The stretch from base 1 to 120 matches the Rfam family "5.8S ribosomal RNA", at positions 35 to 154 of the family's 154-position model. The record is from RNAcentral.
GAUGAAGAACGUAGCGAAAUGCGAUAAGUAAUGUGAAUUGCGGAAUUCAGUGAAUCAUCGAAUCUUUGAACGCACAUUGCGCCCCCUGGUAUUCCGGGGGGCAUGCCUGUUCGAGCGUCAUUUCACCACUCAAGCCUCGCUUGGUAUUGGGCAACGCGGUCCGCCGCGUGCCUCAAAUCGACCGGCUGGGUCUUCUGUCCCCUAAGCGUUGUGGAAACUAUUCGCUAAAGGGUGUUCGGGAGGCUACGCCGUAAAACAACCCCAUUUCUAAGGUUGACCUCGGAUCAGGUAGGGAUACCCGCUGAACUUAAGCAUAUCAAUAAGCGGAGGA